This 282-nucleotide ribosomal RNA is filed under the name uncultured prokaryote. RNAcentral describes it as "partial 16S ribosomal RNA". It matches the Rfam family "Bacterial small subunit ribosomal RNA", at positions 524 to 803 of the family's 1533-position model. The record is from RNAcentral.
UACGAAGGGUGCAAGCGUUAAUCGGAAUUACUGGGCGUAAAGCGCGCGUAGGUGGUUCGUUAAGUUAGGAGUGAAAGCCCCGGGCUCAACCUGGGAAUUGCUUCUAAAACUGGCGGGCUAGAGUAUGGUAGAGGGUGGUGGAAUUUCCUGUGUAGCGGUGAAAUGCGUAGAUAUAGGAAGGAACAUCAGUGGCGAAGGCGACCACCUGGACUGAUACUGACACUGAGGUGCGAAAGCGUGGGGAGCAAACAGGAUUAGAUACCCCGGUAGUCCCUGAGCGGG